This 929-nucleotide unclassified non-coding RNA is filed under the name Bombus terrestris (buff-tailed bumblebee). RNAcentral's name for it is "misc RNA ENSBTSG00005025395.1". Lineage: Eukaryota; Metazoa; Arthropoda; Insecta; Hymenoptera; Apidae. The record is from RNAcentral.
AUCCACGGUGAAUCCGACGGACAUUCUGCUAUACGUAAUUGUUGCACAUCGAGUAUUCUUCGACGUAUAUUUUUAUUUUGCUUCUCUUGUGCCUUUAUAUCCAUUUCUUACGCGCUAUAGAAACUGAUUAUUCGAUUUAAUUCAACCGUUUAACUCCCGUCGGUAAUAUUUCGAUGAACAUGCGCGCUAAAGACCUGCAGAUGCCGCACUCAAUACCAAACUGCAAUGCGCAGUCUCAAGCUUGCAUUAGAAUAGUUUCGUUCAAGUAACAUUUAUAAAUCAUUUCACUAUCUGCGUUAGGUCCUCUUCUAGCCUUUCUCCUAAACUCUUCCGCUUUGUACGCGUCUAUAAUUUCCUGCUGACGAACCUGGGUAUCAACGUGAACAACAUCAGGUUUUUUACGAUACCUGGUUACAGCUGCGGGAGGAGAGAAUUCAAUCUCCAUAUCAGACGCCGUCGAGCUAGACGUGAUAGAAGCAUCGUCCUUGUUCUUCACGAUUUUAAACUGCAGCGGUUUCAUUGGCUCGGACAAACGAGGCUCGGCAGAUGUCUCUUGCCUAAUGGGAUACAUCGUUACAUAGACAAAUGCAACCAGGAGUCCCCCCAGUCGACGUUAUCCGAGGCGUGCAAGCGUCGAAGAUGGGAAUUACAUCGUUAUCUCGAGAAGUUGCUUGUGCCGAAACCAUAACCGGGCCACCGGAACAGCUGCAGUUGGACAUAUCUCUAUCCUCGCCGCCACCUUCUAGUCGACUUUCCAUAUUAUGCUUUUCAUUGUACCAGGGAUGAUCAGUAUCGUAAUUGAUCCAUCUGAAACUAGACGGAUCCAGAUAAAUCUGCUCUACUUCUCCGCCGCCUUUCAAUCUAGUUGGUUUACUAGACGAAGAAUCCUGUUUCAGAACGUACAACGCAGGCAGGGUAUUGUCAACGCA